UCGCCAGCCAACCCAAACCCGACGAGUAUAAGAUUCUAAUAAGCCCGUAAUAUCGUGUUGGAACCCAUCUCCCUUCAACUAGUGGAAGAAGGAAAAUUCCACAAUGGGUUUGUUUCUUAAGACUAUUGAGGUUGCUAUCAACCCCAAAGGUAUCUAAUUAAGAAGAAAUAGGUUGUAUUUGAGUUGUUGGAAGUUGGUGUUUCUAGUGCAAACAUCAACAUAAUUGUUAUUAGAUUCAUCAGAGGGUGAGGAGCUAGAGUUCUAGUGGGCAAGUGUAAGAGCCGUUUGGGAAUAUGCUCACUUGAAACCACCAACACCGUAGAUGAACAUCAAAUUAUUAUUGUUUUGGGUGGGUUGAAUGCAUUAACCAAGUCUAAUGGACGAACGCCACAUACACAUGGAAGAUUCUGACUCAUUGCAAAAAAUUUAGAGCAAAUAAGAUAAUUUGGAUGAGAGAGAGAGAGAGAGAGAGAGAGAGAGAGAGAGAGAGAGAGAGAGAGAGAGAGGGAGGGAGGGACGGUGGUGGUGGGGUUCGGUUGGAUUCAUAGCGUUCAACGUCGCUCCAUCGAAUAUUAAGGUUGAAUAUGGUGAGUAAUGUGUACUU
This 604-nucleotide long non-coding RNA is filed under the name Prunus dulcis (almond). Its description in RNAcentral is "sRNA ncRNA". The record is from RNAcentral. Lineage: Eukaryota; Viridiplantae; Streptophyta; Magnoliopsida; Rosales; Rosaceae.